GGUGGCAUAGCCAAGCAGUAAGGCAGAGGUCUGCAAAAACUUUAUCGUCAGUUCGAAUUUGAUUGUCACCU
RNAcentral lists this transfer RNA (71 nucleotides) under Periweissella fabalis. Its description in RNAcentral is "Weissella sp. LMG 26217 tRNA". It matches the Rfam family "tRNA". From Rfam's summary of the family: Transfer RNA (tRNA) molecules are approximately 80 nucleotides in length. Their secondary structure includes four short double-helical elements and three loops (D, anti-codon, and T loops). Lineage: Bacteria; Bacillati; Bacillota; Bacilli; Lactobacillales; Lactobacillaceae. The record is from Rfam by way of RNAcentral.